ACAUUGCCAUCAAGGCCCCAGGUGUGGACGAGGCCCUUUACUUUAACCAGAAAAGGUAUCACUCCCUCUCAACAUCCACCUUGUUUGUGAUGCGAAUGGAGUGAUCCUCAGCUACUGCUCCAGACUCCCAGGUAUACAGUAUCAUUGCAUUACAUGUUUACCCAACCAUGUAUUUUAUUGAUUUUCAUGUGACUGCACAUGGUUACUGGUAUUGCAUAAGAAAACAGUGUGAUAAGCCUUGACAUUAGUUAUAAAUGGACAGUUGACAUACUCCUUGACAAGUAAUGAAUCCUCUUGUAGUAUGAAAUCUCACUUUUCACAGGUGCCUGCACUCUUAUGGAGGUAGCUUGCAGUACAGACCCAUCAAGUGUGUGAAAAUAAUUAAUGCUUGCCUGCUCCUACACAACCGCUGCAUGAAGUUCCUGAUGACCUACCACCUCUUGAGGAUGAAGCAGUGCCCCAUGCUGGUGCCGACCCUGCUGUGCUGCAGAGGGGUCUACGUGCUCCAGGCAGAAUUGUGCAGCAAGAAAUCAUACAAAACUUCUUCCAGCAAUGAAGUAAGGAAGUCAGGUAUCAUUUACCUAUGUCAGUAAUCAUGUAAUGAGUGAAGUAAUGGUUUUCCAUGUAUCACUGCAUACUACAUGAAAGAGAUGAGUGCAGCAUUUUAUUUCAUCAAAUACUUAAGUGGCUUGCUAGUAUUAGGUAUGAAUAACACAAAUUAACACAAAAUGAAUUAACACAAAUAAUACAAAAAAUGCUGUAGAUUUAUUUAAAAAAAAUUAAAUGAUUGGUAAUGGCAAAGUUUUUGCAAAAGAAAAAAAAAAUAACAUAUGAGCAUAGUUCAGUUCCUGUAAAAAGUAAAAAAAUAAAUAAAUAAAUAAACAUAUUUAUAGAAAUGCCCACCAGCAGGUCACCACAAAGCACUCUAAUGUAAUUUUUGUACUUUAAGUAACACAAAGGCAUUGUAGGUAUCACAGUGAAGAAAUGCUUUGGUAUUAUAUUGCACUAAUAUUAACAUGCUACUCUAGGUAAAUGAUAGAAUUAAUUAAUGAAGUGCUCAGCAAGUGUUACCAGCUGCUGCAAACAAAAAAAAAAAAAAAAAAAAAAAAAGGUAGAGAAUAAGCUGGUAUUCUUUGAGUGAUGUUUUUUGUUGACUAAUUUUUCUUUUAAUUAUCAGUCAACCUAGUCAUGUUAAUAUUAGUGCAAUAUAAUACCAAAGCAUUUCUUCACUGUGAUACCUACAAUGCCUUUGUGUUACUUAAAGUACAAAAAUUACAUUAGAGUGCUUUGUGGUGACCUGCUGGUGGGCAUUUCUAUAAAUAUGUUUAUUUAUUUAUUUAUUUUUUUACUUUUUACAGGAACUGAACUAUGCUCAUAUGUUAUUUUUUUUUUCUUUUGCAAAAACUUUGCCAUUACCAAUCAUUUAAUUUUUUUUAAAUAAAUCUACAGCAUUUUUUGUAUUAUUUGUGUUAAUUCAUUUUGUGUUAAUUUGUGUUAUUCAUACCUAAUACUAGCAAGCCACUUAAGUAUUUGAUGAAAUAAAAUGCUGCACUCAUCUCUUUCAUGUAGUAUGCAGUGAUACAUGGAAAACCAUUACUUCACUCAUUACAUGAUUACUGACAUAGGUAAAUGAUACCUGACUUCCUUACUUCAUUGCUGGAAGAAGUUUUGUAUGAUUUCUUGCUGCACAAUUCUGCCUGGAGCACGUAGACCCCUCUGCAGCACAGCAGGGUCGGCACCAGCAUGGGGCACUGCUUCAUCCUCAAGAGGUGGUAGCUGUAAGCAGACUUUUGUGAGGGUUUGAGAGGUCUAGGGGUUGGAACCUAACCCUUCCAUUUGUUUAAAGUUUAUGUUGUACGAGAGGAACAGACGUGUAGUUUGACAUUUAGCAUUUUCGUGAUCCAAAACUGGCCCAAACCAUAAUGACUUUCAAGACACCUUUGUAGGAAAAAAACAAAUGUUAUUUUCGUUAAAUGACGGUACACUUCUGACAAA
This is a long non-coding RNA of Scylla paramamosain (green mud crab), 1995 nucleotides long. RefSeq lists it as uncharacterized. Lineage: Eukaryota; Metazoa; Arthropoda; Malacostraca; Decapoda; Portunidae. The transcript has 2 exons. The record is from RefSeq and is a predicted model, not a curated record.